AAACAGCCUAGAAGGCAGCAUCUUGAUUUACCAUUCUCUGUUGAUUCUGAUCAAGCUCUGAGGCUGCUAUUGAAUCUGAUUAGCCUGUCAGGAAUGUAGCUCACCCACUCUGUAAAUGUAAAUAUUAUCCAUAAAACAUGAAGUGUCCCUUACAAUUAUACACAUAUCAGUUAUGCAAGCUAACAAUCAGCAUCGAUAACUGGCUAGCUAGCUAAGAAGACUACCUAGCUAACUAGCGAGCUAGUUCGCGCACAAGACUAGCCAAGUUAGCUGUGUUGUUGCUUGCUGUGGUCUUGGGGGAGGCACACAGCCUGGGAGACCGGGCUGCCUGUCAGGUAUCGUUCAGGUCUUAAAUGUCUCUUAGCUCAAAGCACAAGAGGAAGGACAUGAGGGAACAGCAGGGGGGUAAAGGCCCCUUCCUUAGUGGGACGUCUUGCUCUUGAGGCUGGGGAGUGGCCCUGUCCUGCCCUACCUCUCAUUGGACCAGCCGUUGUUCCCCUCCUGACCUGGCACUGGGCCAGCAAGGCUGCCAUUACGGGGCCUUAGUUGGUUCUGGGGGGAUAAUUGGCCAGCAGGAGCCGUCUCUGGACCCUCCAGGCUGAGUGACAACUAGGAGAAAGAGAGCCGCGACUCCCUGCGUCCGCUGUGACAGCUGUCUCACCCAGCCACUCAUGCCUCGCCCAUUGUCUGAGGUGUCCUAAUAGCUGCAUAUGUAGAAUAAAGAAAAAACAUGCACGUCUUUUCAUAAUGAGGCAUAUUUUUGGAAGGUUUUGUCGUGAGGUGCAAAUUGCACAUUCUCAUUGAAAGGUUUUGGUGCUUUUGAAAAUCAGUUCAUGCUGACCUCAAAAUUGCCAACAGACUAUUUGCUUCACCAUAAUUUCUUAUCGCCUCAAUGUACACAGUGUACAAAACAUUAAGGACACCUUUUCUUUCCAUGACAUAGACUGACCAGGUGAAAGCCAUGAUCUCUUAUUGAUUUCACUUGUUAAACCCACUUCAAUCAGUGUAGAUGAAGGAGAGACAGGUUAAAGAAGGAUUUUUAAGCCUUGAGACAAUUGAGACAUGGAUUGUGUGUGUGUGCAUUUCAGGGGGUGAAUGGGCAAGAGAAAAGAUUUAUGUGCCUUUGAACAGGGUAUGGUAGUAAGUGCCAGGUGCACCGGUUUGUGUCAAGAACUGCAACGCUGCUGGGUUUUUCACAGUUUCCCGUGUGUAUCAAGAAUGGUCCGCCAUCCAAAGAACAUCCAGCCAACUUGACACAACUGAGGGAAGCUUUGGAGUCAACAUGGGCCAGUAUCCCUGUGCAACUUCAUAUUAGGAUGGUGUCCUUUAUGUUUUGUACACUCAGUGUAUAUUCAAAUUAGACCUCUUCAGAGACUGUAUUCUAUGUCCAUCUCUAGCUGUCCAUUGCCUGUCCGUAAUGUUAAGUGUUGGGAGUUUUGGUAACCAUGGAGCUCCAUAUAGACAGAGAGAAGCUUGGGGGGGGGGGGGGUCCUCCUCCUCCACUCCCAGACUGCUGGCCAGGCAGAGCGGGUGGGUGCGUAGGAGGGCUUUUGUCUUCUCCUCUCCCUGACUCUAGUGGGCUGCCAGCCAGGAUAAUUCAAUCUGUCACCAGCUGUCUGCUAGGCUGUACCAGGGCCAGUCCCUCCCCCUCACUGCCCACCACUCUCUGACUGGGUCAGGUCACACCCCAAAGGCCAAGGGAUGAGCCUCUGUCAGCUGGGAAGCCCUGUUCCAGGUUAUCCACCAUUAUAUGGUGGGAAAUAAGCCUACUUACAAAGUAGCAAACCGUCCCUAACUAUAGUAUCUGUUUACAAGCACGAUGCAUCAUGGAGUAUUGGUGCUAACUAUUUAUUGAAACUACUGUAUGUUGUAAUUUAAGCAGUAUGUUGCCAUUUUUAAUUGCUCCAAAAAACAAAUAUAAUGAGUGUUUAUUUAUCAAGGUUCAGAUCCUUGAUAAAUAUUUUUCUAUAAUCACGCUUGAUACAUUGUGUUAAGUUUUUUUUUUCUUCUCAAAAGUCUGAAAUGUUUCCUUAUAUUUUGCCAAAAAAUUACAAGCUUCAAAUUGGGGUUUCACGGUUAUUUGGGAACAGAAGUAUGUUUUAAUUGAUUUUACACUCAGGAAAAUGUGGAAUUUGUCACAAUCGCCCCAGAAGACAUAAAAUCCCUUUGAGGCAAAAGCCUAAAAAGUGAUGGUGUUGUUAGCUUUCCAGAAUUCCUGAGCUGCUGCUAAGAAAUGACUAGAGUCUGCUUGUAUUUGUGCCAGUCUUUUCUUUCAACUGAGACCUUUGAGAAAUAUCCCCAAGCUGUGAGCUGGACAUCUAAAUGGUAGACAGAAACCACCUUGUCUCUAUUGUCCUAGCAGUAAACAUAGAUUAGAGUAGAACAGAGUAGAACAUCAGUGUAAUUACAAGCUCAGGCUCAAUAACUGGCCAGUAAAAACAAAUAGAAAAGCUAUGGGAACAGUGGUGUCUGGGGUAUAUGAAGGCGAAGGUUAACCAGUAGCCUUGUUCCAUUAGGAGGCUAGAGAAAGGAGCAGCAGCAGGAGAGCAAUGGCCUUUCAGCACCCUGGAGAGCAGGCCAGGGCCACCCCAAUCCAAUGACACAGUCUGUCCUCAAAGGUCAGCCACGGAGGAACAAAGGCUUGGAGGCCGUUGGGAGGGGAUACACAGGAAAAUAAAUGUAAUUGAACAUACG
Molecule: long non-coding RNA, 2694 nt
Filed under: Salmo salar (Atlantic salmon)
Lineage: Eukaryota; Metazoa; Chordata; Actinopteri; Salmoniformes; Salmonidae
Description: lncRNA (ENSSSAG00000117029.1)
Source: RNAcentral